UACGUAGGGUGCAAGCGUUGUCCGGAAUUAUUGGGCGUAAAGGGCUCGUAGGCGGUCCAUCGCGUCGGGAGUGAAAAGCUGGGGCUUAACCCCAGUCCUGCUUCCGAUACGGGUGGACUAGAGGUAGGUAGGGGAGAACGGAAUUCCUGGUGUAGCGGUGAAAUGCGCAGAUAUCAGGAGGAACACCUAUUGCGAAGGCAGCUCGCUGGGACGUAACUGACGCUGAGACGCGAAAGCGUGGGGAGCAAACAGG
This 253-nucleotide ribosomal RNA is filed under the name uncultured bacterium. RNAcentral's name for it is "partial 16S ribosomal RNA". It matches the Rfam family "Bacterial small subunit ribosomal RNA", at positions 524 to 776 of the family's 1533-position model. The record is from RNAcentral.